Molecule: transfer RNA, 83 nt
Filed under: bacterium
Lineage: Bacteria
Also listed under: 1 other name
Description: tRNA-Leu
Rfam family: tRNA
About the family: Transfer RNA (tRNA) molecules are approximately 80 nucleotides in length. Their secondary structure includes four short double-helical elements and three loops (D, anti-codon, and T loops). Further hydrogen bonds mediate the characteristic L-shaped molecular structure. tRNAs have two regions of fundamental functional importance: the anti-codon, which is responsible for specific mRNA codon recognition, and the 3' end, to which the tRNAs corresponding amino acid is attached (by aminoacyl-tRNA synthetases). tRNAs cope with the degeneracy of the genetic code in two manners: having more than one tRNA (with a specific anti-codon) for a particular amino acid; and 'wobble' base-pairing, i.e. permitting non-standard base-pairing at the 3rd anti-codon position.
Source: RNAcentral
GCGAGGAUGGCGGAAUCUGGUAGACGCGGUGGAUUUAGGUUCCAUUGGCCUCGGCCGUGGGGGUUCGAGUCCCCCUCCUCGCA